GUGGGGAAUAUUGGGCAAUGGGCGGAAGCCUGACCCAGCGACGCCGCGUGGGGGAAGAAGUCUUUCGGGAUGUAAACCCUUGUUGUACGGGACGAAGGAAGUGACGGUACCGUACGAGGAAGCCCCGGCAAACUACGUGCCAGCAGCCGCGGUAAUACGUAGGGGGCGAGCGUUGUCCGGAAUCACUGGGCGUAAAGCGCACGUAGGCGGGCUGUCAAGUCGGCCGUGAAAGGCACGGGCUCAACCUGUGCAUGUCGGUCGAUACUGGCGGUCUGGAGUAUGGGAGAGGGAACUGGAAUUCCCGGUGUAGCGGUGAAAUGCGUAGAUAUUGGGAAGAACACCGGUGGCGAAGGCGACUUGCUGGGCAGCAACUGACGCUGAGGCGCGAAAGCCAGGGGAGCAAACGGGAUUAGAAACCCCAGUAGUCC
This 428-nucleotide ribosomal RNA is filed under the name uncultured bacterium. RNAcentral's name for it is "partial 16S ribosomal RNA". It matches the Rfam family "Bacterial small subunit ribosomal RNA", at positions 354 to 796 of the family's 1533-position model. The record is from RNAcentral.